GCCUGACGCAGCGACGCCGCGUGAGUGAUGAAGGCCCUCGGGUUGUAAAGCUCUGUGGGGAGAGAAGAAUAAGUGCAAGCUAAUACUUUGCAUGAUGACGGUAUCUCCUUAGCAAGCACCGGCUAACUCUGUGCCAGCAGCCGCGGUAAGACAGAGGGUGCAAACGUUGUUCGGAAUCACUGGGCGUAAAGCGCGUGUAGGCGGCUUCUCAAGUCGGGUGUGAAAUCCCAGGGCUCAACCCCUGGAAGUGCAUUCGAAACUGGGUAGCUAGAGUACUGGAGAGGAAGGUGGAAUGCUUGGUGUAGAGGUGAAAUUCGUAGAUAUCAAGCGGAACACCGGUGGCGAAGGCGGCCUUCUGGACAGAUACUGACGCUGAGACGCGAAAGCGUGGGGAGCAAACAGGAUUAGAUACCCUGGUAGUCCACGCCGUAAACGAUGAGUGCUAGAUGUCAGGAGCUUUGACCCUCUUGGCGUCGUAGCUAACGCAAUAAGCACUCCGCCU
Molecule: ribosomal RNA, 502 nt
Filed under: uncultured bacterium
Lineage: Bacteria
Description: bacterial SSU rRNA
Rfam family: Bacterial small subunit ribosomal RNA
Source: RNAcentral